UCAGUCUCAGCAGCCUUCAUUUCUUCCCAAACCCGAUCUGAACCUAGAGACUUAGAGAGGCCGCCUCCUUCGGUCCUUCUUCCCAAACCCGAUCUGAACCGAGAGAGGCCGCCAUAUCCGCCAACGCCGAGACUGCUCUCUCCCUCACUUCACCUGCACCGCGAGAUGCCGAGACUGCUCUCUCUCUCUUCACAUCACGCUAUGAGUUUCUUUGUCUUUCUCUUUGUAUCUCUGUAUCCCUCUCCCCCUUUCAAUCUCUCUGUGUUCUUACUGUGUUUUCGCUUGUCAAGUUUUAAAUUUGUUAUUGAUUUGCAGGCGGUUCGCUGGGUUUGUGUUUGGUGCCAAGGGGACUUUGAUUCAGUCUGUGGAGUAUUUCUGCUGUGAUCCCAAUCUAAUUUUGCAAGUAUCAAAUUGGGUUUUAAUCGGUUAGGUAUCCAAUCGAGCUCCUCUUUCCAUUAAGAUUUAAGAAAGAAAGAGACUGCUCUGGGCCAUCGACCACUUAAGCUGGUGUUUGUGCGGCAAUUGGGCAGCUGUCCAAGCCUUUAACUAAUGUAAUUCUGUAUGGGAAAGAGUUUGAAACCGCUGGCGGCUUCCCUUCCACUCAUUCCUCUAUAAGCUAGAAGAAUCAUUUCGACGUUGGGUUUAAACGGCGACUGGCUGCUGUGGAAGGAAGCUGUAUUUUAAUUAGGACUUUCUAUUUCAUUGCAUAUUUGUACUUGAAUUUGGACUUCGUAUUUAAAUUUGGACACUUUGUAUUUCAAUUGUAGCUUUAAUUGUUCUUGAUGAGUACUUGAAUUUGGAUAUUAUGUAUUAUGGAUAUUUGAAUUUGCAGCUUGAACUUUGGAUCUUGA
Long non-coding RNA from Rosa rugosa (rugosa rose), 851 nucleotides. RefSeq lists it as uncharacterized. NCBI's taxonomy places the organism in Eukaryota, Viridiplantae, Streptophyta, Magnoliopsida, Rosales, Rosaceae. The record is from RefSeq and is a predicted model, not a curated record. The transcript has 2 exons.